This 406-nucleotide ribosomal RNA is filed under the name uncultured bacterium. Its description in RNAcentral is "bacterial SSU rRNA". It matches the Rfam family "Bacterial small subunit ribosomal RNA", at positions 29 to 416 of the family's 1533-position model. The record is from RNAcentral.
AACGAACGUUAGCGGCGCGCUUAACACAUGCAAGUCGAACGAGAAAGGGCUUCGGCCCCGGUACAGUGGCGCACGGGUGAGUAACACGUGGGUAAUCUACCCUCGAGCGGGGGAGUAACGUUCCGAAAGGAGCGCUAAUACCGCAUAAGACCACGCUCUCGAAAGGGAGCGAGGUAAAAGUAGGCCUCUGAAUUCACGCUUACACUCGAGGAUGAGCCCGCGGCCCAUCAUGGUAGUUGGUAGGGUAAUGGCCUACCAAGCCGAAGACGGGUAGCUGGUCGUUAGAGGAUGAUCAGCCACACUGGAACUGAGACACGGUCCAGACUCCUACGGGAGGCAGCAGUGGGGAAGUCUUGCGCAAUGGGCGAAAGCCUGACGCAGCGACGCCGCGUGGGUGAUGAAGGCC